AUGAGUCUCCUAUGCUGGAACUGUCAUGGGGCUGGCAAACCCACGACAGUCCGAGAGCUUCGUGAUCUAACGAGGCAACCUGCCCCCUCUAUAUUAUGUAUCAUCGAAACUCAAAUAGAGGUCUCUCGAGUAGAUAAUUUAGCAGGCUCUUUAGGUUUUACAAACAGUUUUGCAGUUAGUAGUUCUGGUAGAAGUGGUGAUCUUGGAAUUUUUUGGAAUGAUGAAAUAAAGCUUGUGGUUGAUGGUUACUCCAAGUAUCACAUUAAUGUAGUGGUUGAUGAUUUGGCUCAGAUAAAAACAAGGGUCACUGAGGGAGUCCUGGAUUAG
Molecule: ribosomal RNA, 327 nt
Filed under: Triticum aestivum (bread wheat)
Lineage: Eukaryota; Viridiplantae; Streptophyta; Magnoliopsida; Poales; Poaceae
Description: partial small subunit ribosomal RNA
Source: RNAcentral